GAGGAUGGUUAAAACAUAUUUGAAUUCGGCCCAAUAGAAAAUUCAUCGGACAGGAGACGAGAGGGAGAAAGAUUCAAGAAGGAGAGGUGACCCGCUCGAGGGAGACGUCGGCGAUUCAACUCACCCAGGAAACUGAUCAAAGAGCUCGAAAAUAUUAAGCUCUCUCCACACAGAUUCACAAGGUCCAACGGGGAAGCAGAAGGGAGAUCUGGCACACGGAAGGUAAAAAAUUGGUGACUGGGUGGGGUUAAUGUCCACAAGAGAAAGUGGCUAGAACCCAGGUGGACUGGACUGUACGAAGUGGGGGAGGUUACUUCACACUCAGUCCAGGUCAAAGGUAAAUCAGGCGCACCUUGGCACCACCUCACACAUUGCACUCCAGCCCCAAUCCCUUCUAGAACACUGACAGAAGUCAGAGCUGAUUUAAACAGCUUAAAUUCGAUUCCAAAGGAAGACAUUCCUGACUCAGGUGAUGCGGAAUCAAACUCCGCCUCCCCUGAUAAAGGAACCUCGCCCAGUUAGAGGGAUAUUUCUCCCUCCCUGGGCAAGGCUAGGGAUAUCUGGCCCCUUAUUUGUGAUAUUCCUACUGAUAUUUGGGGUGUCCCUGGGCACUUUCACAUGGUUAAUAGAAUAACUAUAACCGGAUUCCCAUGGAUGUAUGUCACGGACACUCUAGUCUAACUAGGUAAUAAUAGAUUAAAAAA
Long non-coding RNA from Salvelinus namaycush (lake trout), 704 nucleotides. RefSeq lists it as uncharacterized. NCBI's taxonomy places the organism in Eukaryota, Metazoa, Chordata, Actinopteri, Salmoniformes, Salmonidae. The transcript is spliced from 2 exons. The record is from RefSeq and is a predicted model, not a curated record.